ACAAUGCAUGCAUAAGGUAUAGUGCAUACAUGCAUAGGGCACAGCGCAUGCAUAAAGUAUAGUGCAUACAUACAUAGGGCACAAUGCAUGCAUAAGGUAUAGUGCAUACAUACAUAGGGCACAAUGCAUGCAUAAGGUAUAGUGCAUACAUACAUAGGGCACAAUGCAUGCAUAAGGUAUAGUGCAUACAUACAUAGGGCACAAUGCAUGCAUAAGGUAUAGUGCAUACAUACAUAAGGCACAGCGCAUGCAUAAGGUAUAGUGCAUACAUACAUAAG
Long non-coding RNA from Acomys russatus (golden spiny mouse), 278 nucleotides. RefSeq lists it as uncharacterized. The transcript is spliced from 4 exons. NCBI's taxonomy places the organism in Eukaryota, Metazoa, Chordata, Mammalia, Rodentia, Muridae. The record is from RefSeq and is a predicted model, not a curated record.